Molecule: ribosomal RNA, 497 nt
Filed under: uncultured bacterium
Lineage: Bacteria
Description: partial 16S ribosomal RNA
Rfam family: Bacterial small subunit ribosomal RNA
Source: RNAcentral
GAUGAACGCUGGCGGCGUGCCUAAUACAUGCAAGUCGAGCGAACGGACGAGAAGCUUGCUUCUCUGAUGUUAGCGGCGGACGGGUGAGUAACACGUGGAUAACCUACCUAUAAGACUGGGAUAACUUCGGGAAACCGGAGCUAAUACCGGAUGAUAUUUUGAAACGCAUGGUUCAAAAGUGAAAGACGGUCUUGCUGUCACUUAUAGAUGGAUCCGCGCUGCAUUAGCUAGUUGGUAAGGUAACGGCUUACCAAGGCAACGAUGCAUAGCCGACCUGAGAGGGUGAUCGGCCACACUGGAACUGAGACACGGUCCAGACUCCUACGGGAGGCAGCAGUAGGGAAUCUUCCGCAAUGGGCGAAAGCCUGACGGAGCAACGCCGCGUGAGUGAUGAAGGUCUUCGGAUCGUAAAACUCUGUUAUUAGGGAAGAACAUAUGUGUAAGUAACUGUGCACAUCUUGACGGUACCUAAUCAGAAAGCCACGGCUAACUACGUG